CCAGACUCCUACGGGAGGCAGCAGUGGGGGAUAUUGCACAAUGGGGGGAACCCUGAUGCAGCGACGCCGCGUGGGUGAAGAAGCGCCUCGGCGCGUAAAGCCCUGUCAGCAGGGAAGAAAAUGACGGUACCUGAAGAAGAAGCCCCGGCUAACUACGUGCCAGCAGCCGCGGUAAUACGUAGGGGGCAAGCGUUAUCCGGAUUUACUGGGCGUAAAGCGCUCGUAGGCGGUAUGUCAAGUCAAGGGUGAAAUCCCCGCGCUCAACGUGGGAACUGCCUUUGAAACUGGCAAACUGGAGUGUGUGAGAGGAUAGUGGAAUUCCAGGUGUAGGAGUGAAAUCCGUAGAUAUCUGGAGGAACAUCAGUGGCGAAGGCGACUAUCUGGCACAUAACUGACGCUGAGGAGCGAAAGCGUGGGUAGCAAACAGGAUUAGAUACCCGAGUAGC
RNAcentral lists this ribosomal RNA (446 nucleotides) under uncultured bacterium. Its description in RNAcentral is "partial 16S ribosomal RNA". It matches the Rfam family "Bacterial small subunit ribosomal RNA", at positions 331 to 794 of the family's 1533-position model. The record is from RNAcentral.